AAAUCUAAGAAUAUCUAGACCGUACAAUUCAAUGAGUUCACCGAUCUAGCGUAUUCGACGCUGCACCUGAUCUACGCCCCUGUCAGCCACCGCCAGUGGUUCCAGUCUCCGUAUCUCCUACGCCCUGGAACCAAUCAAAGCCGGACCACCACAGAAAGGUGCGCUGCCACGAUACGAGCAAAACCGGACCAGCCUUGAUCACUACUCUCGCUGGAACGAAAAGGGAGAAGAAAUCGUUCGGCCUCCCCGAGCUUCCAAGCCCCCGAUCUCCUUUCCUGUUUGUCCGUGCGUUACACGGCCAUCAUUAUGUGAAAGAAGAGAUCGUGAUCUUCCUUUUGGACUACUUGGGUCGUCGAGCUCUCUUCGUAUUUUCGCCGGACCGCUUGCAGCCUUGGCGUGUGGGUGACGCGCCGGUGAGUGACAUUUGCUUGAUUAUUCAGUGAAUCAAGGGCAUUUUGGUGAUGUAACAAUGCCAGGGACAUUUUGGUAAUUGAACUGCUUGACCAAGGGCAUCUCGGUAAUUUCAAGACCC
RNAcentral lists this long non-coding RNA (532 nucleotides) under Populus trichocarpa (black cottonwood). RNAcentral's name for it is "long non-coding RNA (PTRI_LNC003989)". Lineage: Eukaryota; Viridiplantae; Streptophyta; Magnoliopsida; Malpighiales; Salicaceae. The record is from RNAcentral.